Molecule: long non-coding RNA, 743 nt
Filed under: Struthio camelus australis
Lineage: Eukaryota; Metazoa; Chordata; Aves; Struthioniformes; Struthionidae
Description: lncRNA (ENSSCUG00000015243.1)
Source: RNAcentral
GGCAGGGGAGCCGCGCUGGCCAGGGCCGGCGGGGAAGCACCGCCGGCGUGACGAUAAGCGAAAAUACACUUAAAAGCGAGAGGCGGAGGUCGCGGCGGGGGUGUCGUCGUUAUGCGAGGGCUGCGCCCUAGGGGAAAGGGGUGUUUAACUCUCUUUUUUUUUUUUUCGGUCUUUUUUGGAGCACGCCAUGCCCUGUUGUCCAAACCAGGCUGUGUCUGCGCCGCUUAGAGCCAGGCGAGGCACACGGGUUCCCAAAGGGUUUGGUAGAUCAGGCCGCAGGAGCAUCAGGAUUGCCUGUUCUGCAGCCUUCUGUUUGCUGAAUGAAAACUACCUCUGUGCGAAGAAGGGCCAGUACAGCCACGGACGACUGUUCUCCUGAUCCCGCUACCCCGGUGGAACAGGCUGCUGCUUGUACUUGCUUGUUAGUGCUCACUUGGUUGGAGGUCGCUAUCCCACCAACAUACUGAUCUGUGCACUGACAGUCUCCAGCAGGAAGAGCAUGACAAGUUGUUGGAGUCAGUAACCUCUUUCAUUGGCCCAGCUGGGUAUGGGAAAGGAUGUCUAUCCACAGCCUGUUGCCACAAGUAUCUGCAUUUUAUUUACUGACAAAUACCUGAUGGUAGCAGAAGACCACAUCAUCUAAUUAAAAGGAACAAAUUGUGCAUUUCAGUAAGUAGGAUAAGGUUUAUUAGGUUAUGUUACUUUACAUCUUAAAGUGAAUAAAGACAGAGGCUCCUAUCUCA